UACGGGGGGGGCAAGCGUUGUUCGGAAUUACUGGGCGUAAAGGGCUCGUAGGCGGCCAACUAAGUCGGAUGUGAAAUCCCCAGGCUUAACCUGGGAAUGGCAUUUGGGACUGCAAGGCUCGAGUGCGGCAGAGGAGACUGGAAUUCCUGGUGUAGCAGUGAAAUGCGUAGAUAUCAGGAGGAAUACCGAUGGCGAAGGCAGGUCUCUGGGCUGACACUGACGCUCAUGCACGAAAGCGUGGGGAGCAAACAGG
RNAcentral lists this ribosomal RNA (253 nucleotides) under uncultured bacterium. Its description in RNAcentral is "partial 16S ribosomal RNA". It matches the Rfam family "Bacterial small subunit ribosomal RNA", at positions 524 to 776 of the family's 1533-position model. The record is from RNAcentral.